GAAAUGCGAUAAGUAAUGUGAAUUGCAGAAUUCAGUGAAUCAUCGAAUCUUUGAACGCACAUUGCGCCCGCCAGUAUUCUGGCGGGCAUGCCUGUUCGAGCGUCAUUACAACCCUCAGGCCCCCGGGCCUGGCGUUGGGGAUCGGCGGAAGCCCCCUGCGGGCACAACGCCGUCCCCCAAAUACAGUGGCGGUCCCGCCGCAGCUUCCAUUGCGUAGUAGCUAACACCUCGCAACUGGAGAGCGGCGCGGCCACGCCGUAAAACACCCAACUUCUGAAUGUUGACCUCGAAUCAGGUAGGAAUACCCGCUGAAAUUAAGC
Molecule: unclassified non-coding RNA, 320 nt
Filed under: plant metagenome
Description: partial contains 5.8S ribosomal RNA, internal transcribed spacer 2, and large subunit ribosomal RNA
Rfam family: 5.8S ribosomal RNA (bases 1-105)
Source: RNAcentral